AGUAAGGUGGCUGAAUUGUAGGCGUUAAAUUGUAAAUUUAUUUAUGGGUAUUCCUCUUAUUA
Molecule: transfer RNA, 62 nt
Filed under: Cryptophyllium westwoodii
Lineage: Eukaryota; Metazoa; Arthropoda; Insecta; Phasmatodea; Phylliidae
Description: tRNA-Tyr
Source: RNAcentral